Molecule: ribosomal RNA, 253 nt
Filed under: uncultured bacterium
Lineage: Bacteria
Description: partial 16S ribosomal RNA
Rfam family: Bacterial small subunit ribosomal RNA
Source: RNAcentral
UACGGAGGAUGCAAGCGUUAUCCGGAAUGAUUGGGCGUAAAGCGUCCGCAGGUGGCUGUGUAAGUCUGCUGUUAAAGAGUGAGGCUCAACCUCAUAAAGGCAGUGGAAACUACAUGGCUAGAGUGCGUUCGGGGCAGAGGGAAUUCCUGGUGUAGCGGUGAAAUGCGUAGAGAUCAGGAAGAACACCGGCGGCGAAAGCGCUCUGCUAGGCCGCAACUGACACUGAGGGACGAAAGCUAGGGGAGCGAAUGGG